Molecule: long non-coding RNA, 1026 nt
Filed under: Pan troglodytes (chimpanzee)
Lineage: Eukaryota; Metazoa; Chordata; Mammalia; Primates; Hominidae
Description: lincRNA
Source: RNAcentral
UUUCACAAGUUCUCUGUUUUUGAAAAAAAGAAUAACUUAUGUGAUAAAUUUAUGUAAUUUGACAAUUAAUCUACCUCAUGUGCUUGCAGAUAUGUAUUCAAUUCCUACCACCGUAGUGGAAGAGAGGCUAUCCCUAUCUUUACAACUGAUAGCAUUUCCAACAGUAAGCUGUGAGAUUCUGCUUGAAAUCACCUCUCAAACAAAUAAAAAACAGACCUGGGAGACACGCUACACUCAUUCUGCUGAAGAAAUAGGCAUUCAUACUUGGGGAAACAGGGAUUUCACAGACCCAGGCUUGUUCCCUACAUAAUGUUUCCUCCUCCGACAUCAGUUCAUCAGUCAAUCAAGUCAUGUGAGAGUGGAGGCCUUGUAUUCCCUAUUAUUCUUGGGCACUCUCCUCCAAGGAGGGAAAGGCCAGGAGGUCCUUUUAGAGGAUGCACUCUGAGAGCCCGGGCUCCCUAAGGUAUGAGAGUUCUAACCAGCAGGUUAGACUUUUCAGGAGUGAGGAAUGAGGCAGGCAUUCCAAACCGGUACCUUCAUUACCUUUUGUUUCAUCUCAAGACAAUUCUGAGGGGCUGUUUUGGAGCGUGUCUGGAAGGUGAACGUUGAAGAAGAGUGUGGGCUUUGAUAUGACUCAGUUGAGAUCUUUCAUGGGGAGGCAGGAAUUCAAUGCCCAGAAUCUGGGCUGGUGUCUUUGAGGUCAGUAGGUUGCAUCUUUUUAUCCAAGUCCGUUGUUACUAGGUUGGAGGCUGGAGAUUCUAAAUGGCUUCCAGACUGCCUCUCUGAUUCUCUUUGGGAGAUGUGGUCUGAAAGACAAUGUCAGUAUUUUUGGGAAAUUCUAGAAAGUCUGCUUGGAAACGUGGGAAGAGCUCUUGCCUAGUGCCUAAAUGCUCCAUUUGCAGCUCUAGCCAAGUAGAUACUUGGUAGGUAUAGAGCCGGGUUUGCAUUUAUAUCAGCAAAACCUAUGUCAGAGUUGAAGAAGUAGUCAGGAAAAAGUGUAUUGGUCACAGGCCGGGAACAUCUUAA